This 484-nucleotide ribosomal RNA is filed under the name uncultured marine bacterium. Its description in RNAcentral is "bacterial SSU rRNA". It matches the Rfam family "Bacterial small subunit ribosomal RNA", at positions 76 to 557 of the family's 1533-position model. The record is from RNAcentral.
GUGCUUGCACCGAAAGACGAGUGGCGAACGGGUGCGUAACGCGUAUGCAAUCUGCCUUUUACUAGGGUAUAGCCCAGAGAAAUUUGGAUUAAUCCCCUAUAACAUCAUUUUUCCGCAUGGUUAAAUGAUUAAAGCUUCGGCGGUAAAAGAUGAGCAUGCGUCCUAUUAGUUCGUAGGUGAGGUAACGGCUCACCUAGACUACGAUAGGUAGGGGCCCUGAGAGGGGGACCCCCCACACUGGUACUGAGACACGGACCAGACUCCUACGGGAGGCAGCAGUGAGGAAUAUUGGACAAUGGACGAAAGUCUGAUCCAGCUAUGCCGCGUGCAGGAUGACGGCCCUACGGGUUGUAAACUGCUUUUAUACAGGAAGAAACACCCCGACGUGUCGGGGCUUGACGGUACUGUAAGAAUAAGGAUCGGCUAACUCCGUGCCAGCAGCCGCGGUAAUACGGAGGAUUCCAGCGUUAUCCGGAAUCAUUGG